CGACAGAGCCCGUUCGAGCCCGUCUUUUCGACCUGCUGUCGUGUAGUACGAAUGGGGCGACAGGACGUCGCCCCAAGCCGAGGGGCACAGGACGUGCCCUCCGAGGCGGUCCGUACGAAACAGGCAGGUCGAAAAGACGCUCGGGCGAGACAG
Regulatory RNA element from Dethiosulfovibrio peptidovorans DSM 11002, 153 nucleotides. NCBI's taxonomy places the organism in Bacteria, Thermotogati, Synergistota, Synergistia, Synergistales, Dethiosulfovibrionaceae. The record is from Rfam.